AGUGAACGCUGGCGGUAGGCCUAACACAUGCAAGUCGAACGGCAGCACAGUAAGAGCUUGCUCUUACGGGUGGCGAGUGGCGGACGGGUGAGGAAUACAUCGGAAUCUACUUUUUCGUGGGGGAUAACGUAGGGAAACUUACGCUAAUACCGCAUACGACCUACGGGUGAAAGCAGGGGAUCUUCGGACCUUGCGCGAUUGAAUGAGCCGAUGUCGGAUUAGCUAGUUGGCGGGGUAAAGGCCCACCAAGGCGACGAUCCGUAGCUGGUCUGAGAGGAUGAUCGGCCACACUAGAACUGAGACACGGUCCAGGCUCCUACGGGAGGCAGCAGUGGGGAAUAUUGGACAGUGGGCGCAAGCCUGAUCCAGCCAUACCGCGUGGGUGGAGGAGGCCUUCGGGUUGUGAAGCCCUUUUGUUGGGAGAGAAAAGCAGCAGGUUAAUACGCCGCUGUUCUGACGGUACCCAAAGAAUAAGCACCGGCUAACUUCGUG
Molecule: ribosomal RNA, 492 nt
Filed under: uncultured bacterium
Lineage: Bacteria
Description: partial 16S ribosomal RNA
Rfam family: Bacterial small subunit ribosomal RNA
Source: RNAcentral